GGUUAAGCGACUAAGCGUACACGGUGGAUGCCCUGGCAGUCAGAGGCGAUGAAGGACGUGCUAAUCUGCGAUAAGCGUCGGUGAGGUGAUAUGAACCGUUAUAACCGGCGAUUUCCGAAUGGGGAAACCCAGUGUGUUUCGACACACUAUCAUUAACUGAAUCCAUAGGUUAAUGAGGCGAACCGGGGGAACUGAAACAUCUAAGUACCCCGAGGAAAAGAAAUCAACCGAGAUUCCCCCAGUAGCGGCGAGCGAACGGGGAGGAGCCCAGAGCCUGAAUCAGUGUGUGUGUUAGUGGAAGCGUCUGGAAAGGCGCGCGAUACAGGGUGACAGCCCCGUACACAAAAAUGCACAUAUUGUGAGCUCGAUGAGUAGGGCGGGACACGUGGUAUCCUGUCUGAAUAUGGGGGGACCAUCCUCCAAGGCUAAAUACUCCUGACUGACCG
Molecule: ribosomal RNA, 446 nt
Filed under: Escherichia coli
Lineage: Bacteria; Pseudomonadati; Pseudomonadota; Gammaproteobacteria; Enterobacterales; Enterobacteriaceae
Description: partial 23S ribosomal RNA
Rfam family: Bacterial large subunit ribosomal RNA
Source: RNAcentral